GAUGAACGCUGGCGGCGUGCUUAACACAUGCAAGUCGAACGAAGCACUGGAUUUGAUUUCCUUCGGGACUGAUUAUCUUGUGACUGAGUGGCGGACGGGUGAGUAACGCGUGGGUAACCUGCCUUGUACAGGGGGAUAACAGUUGGAAACUGCUGCUAAUACCGCAUAAGCGCCCAGCAUCGCAUGAUGCAGUGUGAAAAAGUCCGGUGGUAUAAGAUGGACCCGCGUUGGAUUAGCUAGUUGGUGAGGUAACGGCCCACCAAGGCGACGAGACAUAGCCGGCAUGAGAGAGUGACCCGCCACAUUAGGGCUGAGACGCAGCCCGGAAUCCUACGGGAGGGAGGAGUGGGGAAUAUUGCACAAUGGGGGAAAGGAUGAUGGAGCGACGACGCGUGAGCGAAGAAGUAUUUCGGUAUGUAAAGCUCUAUCAGCAGGGAAGAUAAUGACGGUACCUGAAGAAGAAGCACCGGCUAAAUACGUG
This 481-nucleotide ribosomal RNA is filed under the name uncultured bacterium. RNAcentral describes it as "partial 16S ribosomal RNA". It matches the Rfam family "Bacterial small subunit ribosomal RNA", at positions 28 to 507 of the family's 1533-position model. The record is from RNAcentral.